This 401-nucleotide ribosomal RNA is filed under the name bacterium. Its description in RNAcentral is "partial 16S ribosomal RNA". It matches the Rfam family "Bacterial small subunit ribosomal RNA", at positions 355 to 776 of the family's 1533-position model. The record is from RNAcentral.
UGGGGAAUUUUGCACAAUGGGGGAAACCCUGAUGCAGCGACGCCGCGUGAUUUAGAAGGCCUUCGGGUUGUAAAAAUCUUUUUUACGGGAUGAAAAUGACAGUACCGUAAGAAUAAGGUCCGGCUAAAUACGUGCCAGCAGCCGCGGUAUACGUAUGGACCGAGCGUUGUCCGGAAUCAUUGGGCGUAAAGGGUACGUAGGCGGCCUAGUAAGUUAGAAGUGAAAUAAUAUAGCUCAACUAUAUAAAGCUUUUAAAACUGCUAGGCUUGAGAGAUGGAAGGGAAAGUGGAAUUCCUAGUGUAGCGGUGAAAUGCGCAGAUAUUAGGAAGAAUACCGGUGGCGAAGGCGACUUUCUGGUCAUCAUCUGACGCUGAGGUACGAAAGCGUGGGUAGCAAACAGG